UGUUGAGGCAAAAAAGAAGGCGCAGUUGGAAUAUGAAGUUAUUAGUAUGAAGUAGCAACUCAGGCUCAUUUGGAAAGUUAUGCCGAUAAGCAAGAUGGAAUUUGGAAAAAAAUGUUUUAAAUCGAGUGGCGUUAUUUAAGAUGUGCUCCAAAUAUUUAGCGAACUUUUUUUUCGCCUUCUCAACGUGCUAAGUGACAAGAUAAGAUGACUGCCACCACGGCCGGUAAGAAGCCCGAAGCAAAGUAAAAACUAUCUUCCAGGAAGCUGCCUGCUGUCCCCGAGUCGAAGCUGAAGUUAAGCAAGAAGCAGGUCAGUAAACGUGCUACCCUAAUCAAGCGUAAACUAAAGCGCUCUGCUGUGAUUGCACUCCGCAAGCGUGAAAACUUGGAGCAUGCUGAGAAAUAUCAAGCAAAAUAUCUCCGUGAUGGACGCCGUGAGGUGAACUUGCGCCAUCUGGCAAAGAAACGCGGCCCAUUCUACGUACCCGCAGAAUGGCUUUUGUGAUCUGUAUCUGCGGUAUCAAAAAAGUUGCACCAAAAGUGCGUAACAUUUUACUGUGGUUCCGUGUUCGCCACAUUAACAACGGUUUGUUCAUCGAAUUGAACAAGGCAUCCAUUAAUAUGCUACGGAUUCCCGAACCCUAUAUUAUAUGGGGUUAUCCAAAUCUUAAAUCAGUUCGUGAAUUGAUCUACAAACGUGGAAUUGUUAAGCACAACCAUCAACUUGUCCCAAACUCUGACAACUUUGUGAUCGAACGCAAAUUGUGCAAAGCGCACGAUAUUCAGUGCGUUGAUUAUUUGGCAGUUUUCACUGUUGGAUCCCACUUCAAGAAAGCCUCCAACUUACUGUGGCCACUACGUUGAGGUUGGUGAUUUCGGUAGCCGUGAAGAUCAUAUCAACAAACUGCUGCCCGAGAUAGUUUAAAGAAAUUUUCUGGUGUACAAGGUUUAACCCGCAAAUAUGCCAAAUGGAAGGCAGCUUAUAUUCACAAUUCCUUGAACAAUGUCGAAAUUCUAUUGCCGUUUGUAAAGGCCAUUUCAAACGGCUUCA
Long non-coding RNA from Rhagoletis zephyria (snowberry fruit fly), 1050 nucleotides. RefSeq lists it as uncharacterized. NCBI's taxonomy places the organism in Eukaryota, Metazoa, Arthropoda, Insecta, Diptera, Tephritidae. The record is from RefSeq and is a predicted model, not a curated record.